CGUGGUAAAUUAAAUUAACAUCUCCAUACCCUCUGGCCUUUAUCUCUUCAGGGGUGUAGAAGAAGGCUGGAUCAUAAAGGCACUGAAUAAGGUACAAUAUGUGACCAUGGUUCAGAAUGGUUGAAUUGUCUCCCCAGAUCAUGAGAUGCCUGGUUCUCUGGAACUUGAUGAGGAGUUCCUUUCUUUGCCUUGCUGUUAAAUCUUCCUGGACAUGCUUGUCACAUUCACUAAUCUCCAUCAGACAUUCUGUAACUUUCUCAUCUGACAUGCCUUCAUAGUGAGCAUCAGAAUAGGCACGCACAAUGCCAAGUUGUUCACACCUCUGAAGCUCUCUCUUUCUAAUUUCAGAGAGAGGGAUAUUUCUGGCAGAAACUGUAAAUUCCACUUGUUGAAGGGUGCCAUCACUCUUCAGAACAAGCCUUUUAUACUUCCUAGGAACAACCAGCUCUCCAAUGGUAGAUUCUCCUGCAUCCAGUUUGUCCAAGAACAGUGAUGUCUCCUCCAAGCAUCCUGUUCAGUCUCUGCUUUGGAAGGGACUGAUCACCUCUUUGCUGCUGCUGGAAACGUUUUAGGUCUACUCCUUGGUUUUCAAGGAGGUUUUCUUUGUCGAAGUUGACCUGAUGGGGCUGUAGAGAAUGGCGUUUUUUUCUCGCUAACUCCAAGAUCUUCCUGUCUCUUCUGCUUUCCAACCCUUACGGCUGCUUCCUCCAUUGUCUCAAAGUACAGAGUGGUCCUUUGUUUUUCCAGCUGACAGUAAGACUGCCUCGUGCUCAGCAUUGUAACUACGUCAUGUUUGGACGGCACUGCUGUAGUAACAUGGCUCCUCAACCGCAGUUAAGAAAAACAAAAGAACUAUAUGAAUCAUAAAGACUAAAUGUUCAACAAACAAUGUCCAAUGCUCAAAUAGUAGAAUCUGAAGAAUUGAAUUAUCUAAACGGCUUAAGCAAAUAAAUGUUAAGUGAGUUAAUUAA
Stylophora pistillata is the source of this 971-nucleotide long non-coding RNA. RefSeq lists it as uncharacterized. The record is from RefSeq and is a predicted model, not a curated record. NCBI's taxonomy places the organism in Eukaryota, Metazoa, Cnidaria, Anthozoa, Scleractinia, Pocilloporidae.